AACGCACCUUGCACCCUCUGGUAUUCCGGAGGGUACACCUGUUUGAGUGUCGUGAAAUUCUCAACCCUUGCUCCUUUGUUGGAGUUCAAGGGAUUGGACUUGGAGGUCUUUGGCGGUAUCUAUUAGAGAUCGCCUCCUCUUAAAUGCAUUAGUGCGACUCGUUGUUUCGUAACCUUCGGUGUGAUAAUUAUCUACGUCGUCGGAUCCGUUACUGUUAAGAGACGUGCUUUCUAACCGUCCAUUAUUGGACAAUUUUAUGAAACUUGACCUCAAAUCAGGUGGGACUACCCGCUGAACUUAA
Molecule: unclassified non-coding RNA, 301 nt
Filed under: uncultured fungus
Lineage: Eukaryota; Fungi
Also listed under: 1 other name
Description: partial contains 5.8S ribosomal RNA, internal transcribed spacer 2, and large subunit ribosomal RNA
Source: RNAcentral